Molecule: ribosomal RNA, 274 nt
Filed under: uncultured bacterium
Lineage: Bacteria
Description: partial 16S ribosomal RNA
Rfam family: Bacterial small subunit ribosomal RNA
Source: RNAcentral
AUACGGAGGGUGCGAGCGUUAAUCGGAAUUACUGGGCGUAAAGGGUGCGUAGGCGGCUUGAUAAGUCGGAUGUGAAAGCUCCGGGCUUAACCUGGGAAUUACAUUCGAUACUGUCAGGCUAGAGUAUGUCAGAGGUUGGCGGAAUUCCUGGUGUAGCGGUGAAAUGCGUAGAUAUCAGGAGGAACACCAGUGGCGAAGGCGGCUAACUGGGACAAUACUGACGCUGAGGCACGAAAGCGUGGGGAGCAAACAGGAUUAGAAACCCCAGUAGUCC